This 433-nucleotide ribosomal RNA is filed under the name uncultured bacterium. Its description in RNAcentral is "partial 16S ribosomal RNA". It matches the Rfam family "Bacterial small subunit ribosomal RNA", at positions 29 to 507 of the family's 1533-position model. The record is from RNAcentral.
AACGAACGCUGGCGGCAUGCCUAACACAUGCAAGUCGAACGAGACCUUCGGGUCUAGUGGCGCACGGGUGCGUAACGCGUGGGAACCUGCCCUUAGGUUCGGAAUAACUCCCCGAAAGGGGUGCUAAUACCGGAUAAUGUCUUCGGACCAAAGAUUUAUCGCCUUUGGAUGGGCCCGCGUUGGAUUAGCUAGUUGGUAGGGUAAAAGCCUACCAAGGCGACGAUCCAUAGCUGGUCUGAGAGGAUGAUCAGCCAAACUGGGACUGAGACACGGCCCAGACUCCUACGGGAGGGAGGAGGGGGGGAUAUUGGACAAUGGGGGAAAGGCUGAACCAGCAAUGCCGGGUGAGUGAUGAAAGCCUUAGGGUUGGUAAGCUCUUUUACCCGGGAUGAUAAUGACAGUACCGGGAGAAUAAGCCCCGGCUAACUCCGUG